UACGAAAGGUCCAAGCGUUAAUCGGAAUUACUGGGCGUAAAGCGUGCGUAGGCGGUUUCUUAAGUCCGUUGUGAAAGCCCUGGGCUCAACCUGGGAACUGCGAUGGAUACUGAGGAGCUGGAGUACGGUAGAGGAAGGUGGAAUUCCCGGUGUAGCGGUGAAAUGCGUAGAGAUCGGGAGGAACACCAGAGGCGAAGGCGGUUUCCUGGACAGUUACUGACGCUCAGGCACGAAAGCAUGGGGAGCAAAAGGG
RNAcentral lists this ribosomal RNA (253 nucleotides) under uncultured bacterium. RNAcentral describes it as "partial 16S ribosomal RNA". It matches the Rfam family "Bacterial small subunit ribosomal RNA", at positions 524 to 776 of the family's 1533-position model. The record is from RNAcentral.